RNAcentral lists this unclassified non-coding RNA (400 nucleotides) under soil metagenome. Its description in RNAcentral is "partial contains 5.8S ribosomal RNA, internal transcribed spacer 2, and large subunit ribosomal RNA". The stretch from base 1 to 122 matches the Rfam family "5.8S ribosomal RNA", at positions 35 to 154 of the family's 154-position model. The record is from RNAcentral.
GAUGAAGAACGUAGCGAAAUGCGAUACUUGGUGUGAAUUGCAGAAUCCCGUGAACCAUCGAGUCUUUGAACGCAAGUUGCGCCUCAAGCCAUUAGGUUGAGGGCACGUCUGCCUGGGCGUCACAUAUUGUUGCCUGAUGCCAGUUUCCUCGUGAUGGGUGACUGUGCAGGGCGAAUGAUGGCUUCCCGUGAGCAUUGUUGCCUCAUGGUUGGUUGAAAAUUGAGUCCUUGGUAGGGAGCGCCGUGAUAGAUGGUGGUUGAGUGACGAACGAGACCCAAUCAUGUGAGACCCCUACCGAAUUUGGCCUUCAUGACCCACAUGCGUCUUUGGAACGCUCAUGACGAGACCUCAGGUCAGGCGGGGCUACCCGCUGAGUUUAAGCAUAUCAAUAAGCGGAGGA